RNAcentral lists this transfer RNA (72 nucleotides) under Sus scrofa (pig). It matches the Rfam family "tRNA". Rfam says of the family: Transfer RNA (tRNA) molecules are approximately 80 nucleotides in length. Their secondary structure includes four short double-helical elements and three loops (D, anti-codon, and T loops). Further hydrogen bonds mediate the characteristic L-shaped molecular structure. tRNAs have two regions of fundamental functional importance: the anti-codon, which is responsible for specific mRNA codon recognition, and the 3' end, to which the tRNAs corresponding amino acid is attached (by aminoacyl-tRNA synthetases). tRNAs cope with the degeneracy of the genetic code in two manners: having more than one tRNA (with a specific anti-codon) for a particular amino acid; and 'wobble' base-pairing, i.e. permitting non-standard base-pairing at the 3rd anti-codon position. Lineage: Eukaryota; Metazoa; Chordata; Mammalia; Artiodactyla; Suidae. The record is from Rfam by way of RNAcentral.
UCCCUGGUGGCCCAGUGGAUAGGGCUUGGCACUUUCACUGCAGUGGCCCGAGUUCGAUCCCUGGUCUGAGAA